AGCUUCAAAGCAAUAGGCAUAAUCAUUUCUGGGAAUAGCUGAAAGAGGAAUGCAACCCAUCUGAGCCUGGGAAUCAGACUAUUUAAAAAUAUUACAUAAGUAAGGUACCACAGAAUUCCUGAAAAAAACUUUUAAAACUUUAAUUUAUGCUACGUAAGGUUACAAUACCAUGUGACGGACAUCACAAUAGAAAUAAUUCAUCCUGAAUUUCACAUUUGAAUUCAACUGGAAUCAUAAUGGAGUUUCGAGUCAUAUUAAGUCUUCUAUUUCUUACAGCUGCUGUUGCUGCUGCUGCACUUGGAAUUGCCAAUGCUACAUCUUCUCUUGAAUCUACCGGGCCAACAACACCCACAGUUCCUCCGACAUCCACAUCUGUUCCUUCAACAACAACAAACACAAUUGCUCCCACUCCCAUUUCAGCUGCUUCAACAACUACAGCUGUUCCUCUAACAAUUAUUACUGUUCCUCCUACCAUAACCUCAAUUUCAUCUGCAUCGACCACAGUUGUACCCCGAACAACCACAGUUGUACCUCUAACAGUAACAACAGCUGCACAAACAACUACAGCUGUUCCUUCAACAACAACAGCUGCACCAACCACAACAGCUUCUCCAACC
Xiphophorus couchianus (Monterrey platyfish) is the source of this 617-nucleotide long non-coding RNA. RefSeq lists it as uncharacterized. The transcript has 3 exons. NCBI's taxonomy places the organism in Eukaryota, Metazoa, Chordata, Actinopteri, Cyprinodontiformes, Poeciliidae. The record is from RefSeq and is a predicted model, not a curated record.